Transfer RNA from Camelus ferus (Wild Bactrian camel), 72 nucleotides. It matches the Rfam family "tRNA". From Rfam's summary of the family: Transfer RNA (tRNA) molecules are approximately 80 nucleotides in length. The record is from Rfam. Lineage: Eukaryota; Metazoa; Chordata; Mammalia; Artiodactyla; Camelidae.
GUGGGAAUAGCUCAGGGUUACAGUGCAUGCUUACCAUGCAUGAGAUCCUGGGUUCAAUCCCCAGUGUCUCCA